This 474-nucleotide ribosomal RNA is filed under the name Lophodermium conigenum. Its description in RNAcentral is "LSU rRNA". It matches the Rfam family "Eukaryotic large subunit ribosomal RNA", at positions 108 to 585 of the family's 3401-position model. Lineage: Eukaryota; Fungi; Ascomycota; Leotiomycetes; Rhytismatales; Rhytismataceae. The record is from RNAcentral.
CUCAAAUUUGAAAGCUGGCUCCUUCGGGGCCCGCGUUGUAAUUUGUAGAGGAUGCUUCGGGCGCGGCGCCGGUCUAAGUUCUCUGGAACGAGACGUCAUAGAGGGUGAGAAUCCCGUAUGUGACUGGCUGCCUGUGCCCAUGUGAAGCUCCUUCGACGAGUCGAGUUGUUUGGGAAUGCAGCUCAAAAUGGGAGGUGUACUCCUUCUAAAGCUAAAUAUUGGCCAGAGACCGAUAGCGCACAAGUAGAGUGAUCGAAAGAUGAAAAGCACUUUGGAAAGAGAGUUAAACAGUACGUGAAAUUGUUGAAAGGGAAGCGCUUGCAAUCAGACUUGCGCGGCGUCGAUCAGCCUGGGUUCUCCCUGGUGCACUCGGCGCCGCUCAGGCCAGCAUCAGUUUCGGCGGUGGGAUAAAGGCCUAGGGAACGUGGGUCCCCUCGGGGACCGUUAUAGCCCUAGGUGCAAUGCCGCCUGCCG